CACAGAAGCACAGUUACAAGCAGACUUGUUGGAGGUAAAUUACUGACUGUCCCUUGUGAUGCCUAAAUGACAGCAGAUUUCCCUGAGUGCUCAAUUUGUCCUUCAACUGAAACCCAGCAAGAUCCGGAAGAAGAUGGUGCUCACAGAGGCAAGAUGAGACCAGUAGACAGUGUGAGGGAUUAGAUUUGCUCAAGAACCUGCUCAUCACACCUGGGUGGUGUCCACACUUUAAGUAUCCAGCUCUGGUGUGAAUAGUUUGAAAAAUGGCCGCCAGCUGUGGAAGUACCGG
Molecule: long non-coding RNA, 289 nt
Filed under: Chloebia gouldiae (Gouldian finch)
Lineage: Eukaryota; Metazoa; Chordata; Aves; Passeriformes; Passeridae
Description: Erythrura gouldiae (Gouldian finch) lncRNA (ENSEGOG00005014022.1)
Source: RNAcentral